Molecule: ribosomal RNA, 212 nt
Filed under: uncultured bacterium
Lineage: Bacteria
Description: partial 16S ribosomal RNA
Rfam family: Bacterial small subunit ribosomal RNA
Source: RNAcentral
CAGUUCGGAUUGUAGUCUGCAACCCGACUACAUGAAGCUGGAAUCGCUAGUAAUCGCGGAUCAGAAUGCCGCGGUGAAUACGUUCCCGGGUCUUGUACACACCGCCCGUCACACCAUGGGAGUCGGAAAUGCCCGAAGUCUGUGACCCAACCUACGGGAGGGAGCAGCCGAAGGCAGGUCGGAUGACUGGGGUGAAGUCGUAACAAGGUAGC